Molecule: long non-coding RNA, 1834 nt
Organism: Cyanistes caeruleus (blue tit)
Lineage: Eukaryota; Metazoa; Chordata; Aves; Passeriformes; Paridae
Source: Ensembl
AGGAGAUUCUGUUUUACCACUAACAGUUCCAGUGACAAGACUGUGCCUUAUGAAUACAUUUUUGUGUUUUACUGUUUAGUUGUCUCCUCAGUAAAAUAAAUUGCCAAAAUUUUAGUUAAAGUGUUCAAUGAUGUUAUUUACUGAAUUGAACUGGCAGAGAUUAUAGUUUAGAUGCAUGUUAAAAACAAUUUUUGUUUGAAAAAAUGUAAAAGGCAUCCUCCUACAGCAUAUAAUUUUCUCCUGAAAUGUACACUGAGACCCAUAGGAGCUGAUUGCAGUAAUGCUGUAUGUCUAACUCCUUGAUUGUUCAGACCUAGUAGCACAGUUCUACUGAUAAUAUGACAAAUACCAUGAAGGAAAGUCCAGUUUGAAUUUUCUUAUUAAUUCUGCAAACAUGGAUUGGAUUCCAAUUUAGUGCAAAAGGUAUCAUGACUGAUUGACAACCAUUUAGAGAUAGGUGUCCAGUGAUAAUCUAUGAAACAUGAGAUUAUAACUUUGCCACUAAACCUUAGGUUUGAAUGAAAUCAGGACCAAAAUAAAAAUUUUGUACUACAGAAAUAAAAAUUGUAGUACAAAAUAAAAAUGUUGUAGUACAGACAUAAGUGAGUAAAUCUUUAAAGUUUGAAAUUUGAAGCUUGGGACCAUUUAGCCAGAGAUUUCUGCUGGGUAACAUGGAUCACUCAGUUCUGUAAUCCUAUGAAAUAAAAAUUUUCUUUGUCCCAGAGGGUAGGCAAUUUUCUGGUGCAGGUGGCAGGAGAUGUUGACAGUAAAAGCAGCAAUAAAUUCAAGGAGAUAGUGAAAGGAGUAUAGAUCUCACUGUGAGCUGUCACCAUGACUAAGAUACCCUGACUGUUCAUGCUGGCCAGUUUUCUGUUUUAUAUAAGACACAGAGAGAAGAAGGAAAAAAGAAGUGAUGGUCUCAGAAUUUGGUGUGAAUACUUACCAAAUAUUUAUUAAUCAUCAGAAAGCAAACACUGUCUCAAAAUGCCAUGACAGCAGGACUUCUGCAAGAACAGAACCAGAAGGUGGAAAGUGCAUUUUAGAGCAUUUGCCAUUAAAAAAAGGACAUGAAUAAAGGUAUACUGGAAAACUCAAGGAAGCAAUGAGGCACCAUGACAGAUGGCAGUACAGACCUUCAAGAGCAUAAGCAUUUCUACAAGUAGUUUUAGUCUACUUCUCUAAAUUUUAGUUAGAUAAGUAGAGUUUUAAUGAUGAAUUUAAAAGCAGACAAAGGAACAGUUUUGAAGAUAUUUACAAAGAAUUUCCCAAGGUGAAUGACUACACAUUGAUGUUUAUUUGAAAAUUUAAUAAUGUGAUGAAGAAGGACUAAUAUGAGCUACUGAAGGGCAGAAAAAAAUUCUCUUGAUACUACAGAGACAUAAACAUAAGUUUGGAAUUUUGAAAGUGAAGACAAGCUGUUAAUUUUUGAUAUGAUGAAAACAAAGAGGAGACUUUAGAAACAUUCAAGAUAAAGGGUAAUACAGAACAUGAGAUUAUGAGAACCUGGAUCAAAGCACUUGUGUAUAAAUGGAAAGGAGAGAACUUAUAGGUUAAAACUUACAGGUUAAAAUGUUUGAGUAUGUGAUGUAAGGAAGGAUCAAUAGGCAUAAUACUGGUAUUCACAGUACAUGAGAUAAUGAGGCAACUGCAGGGCUCAAUUACAGCAAGAAACCAAGAUGUGUCUGUUAACCAUACACUAGAUGGUUGAACCUUACAUUCUGUUAGCAUGAUGUGACAGUUAUUUUCUGUGGACUAGAAGAUUGCAUUUGGGCCUGAUUAGAGAGGUCUGAAAUAUAGAAAUAAAUUUAUGCUUUUUUGCCUAAAAUAGUUGAAU